AAAAAGGGCUUCUGUCGUGAGUGGCACACGUAGGGCAGCUUGACUGCUCUAUGUGCGGGAUUGACAUCAAGAGAUUUCGGAAGCAUAAUUUUUUGGUACCUGGGCAGCUAGUGAUCGCUGGUCCUGGCGCCCUU
Phyllostomus hastatus (greater spear-nosed bat) is the source of this 134-nucleotide small nuclear RNA. RefSeq annotates it as U11 spliceosomal RNA. Lineage: Eukaryota; Metazoa; Chordata; Mammalia; Chiroptera; Phyllostomidae. The transcript has a single exon. The record is from RefSeq and is a predicted model, not a curated record.